AUCCAAGGAAGGCAGCAGGCACGCAAAUUACCCAUUCUCGGAACGAGGAGGUAGUGACGAGAAAUAAUAAUAUGAACCUUAAUGGUUUGUAAUUAGAAUGGAAUGGAUGCAAAAGCUCCAUUGAUGAACGAGUAGAGGGCAAGUCUGGUGCCAGCAGCCGCGGUAAUACCAGCCUCUACAAGCGUAUGCAAAAGUUGCUGCGUUUAAAAAGCUCAUAGUUGGAUCUUUUUAGGGAUACGGUAAACCUGUCGUCUUGAAAUACUAGACGGCCGGCGUAUGUCCUAUAAACCACGCAUCGAGUACACUGAUUGCACUUAACUGUGUCGAUCGGUGGAAACGGUGUUACCACUCUAAAUAAAAUAGAGUGUUCAAAGCGUCCUUUGGGAUUGAAUAAUAAAGCAUGGAAUAAAGGAGAAUGACCUGCGUUUCGAUUUAUGCCUGUGGCUGAAAUGCGGUAAUGAUCAAAAGGAACAGGCGGGGGCAUUUGUAUUGCUACGUUAGAGGUGAAAUUCUUGGAUCGUAGCAAGACAAACUACUGCGAAAGCAUUUGCCAAGAAUG
This 559-nucleotide ribosomal RNA is filed under the name uncultured eukaryote. RNAcentral describes it as "SSU rRNA". It matches the Rfam family "Eukaryotic small subunit ribosomal RNA", at positions 414 to 966 of the family's 1831-position model. The record is from RNAcentral.